Molecule: ribosomal RNA, 995 nt
Filed under: uncultured bacterium
Lineage: Bacteria
Description: bacterial SSU rRNA
Rfam family: Bacterial small subunit ribosomal RNA
Source: RNAcentral
UGGGGAAUAUUGCACAAUGGGGGAAACCCUGAUGCAGCGACGCCGCGUGGAGGAAGAAGGUCUUCGGAUUGUAAACUCCUGUUGUUGAGGAAGAUAAUGACGGUACUCAACAAGGAAGUGACGGCUAACUACGUGCCAGCAGCCGCGGUAAAACGUAGGUCACAAGCGUUGUCCGGAAUUACUGGGUGUAAAGGGAGCGCAGGCGGGAAGACAAGUUGGAAGUGAAAUCCAUGGGCUCAACCCAUGAACUGCUUUCAAAACUGUUUUUCUUGAGUAGUGCAGAGGUAGGCGGAAUUCCCGGUGUAGCGGUGGAAUGCGUAGAUAUCGGGAGGAACACCAGUGGCGAAGGCGGCCUACUGGGCACCAACUGACGCUGAGGCUCGAAAGUGUGGGUAGCAAACAGGAUUAGAUACCUUGGUAGUCCACACCGUAAACGAUGAUUACUAGGUGUUGGAGGAUUGACCCCUUCAGUGCCGCAGUUAACACAAUAAGUAAUCCACCUGGGGAGUACGACCGCAAGGUUGAAACUCAAAGGAAUUGACGGGGGCCCGCACAAGCAGUGGAGUAUGUGGUUUAAUUCGACGCAACGCGAAGAACCUUACCAAGUCUUGACAUCCUGCGACGGACAUAGAAAUAUGUCUUUCCUUCGGGACGCAGAGACAGGUGGUGCAUGGUUGUCGUCAGCUCGUGUCGUGAGAUGUUGGGUUAAGUCCCGCAACGAGCGCAACCCUUAUGGUCAGUUACUACGCAAGAGGACUCUGGCCAGACUGCCGUUGACAAAACGGAGGAAGGUGGGGAUGACGUCAAAUCAUCAUGCCCUUUAUGACUUGGGCUACACACGUACUACAAUGGCGUUAAACAAAGAGAAGCAAGACCGCGAGGUGGAGCAAAACUCAGAAACAACGUCCCAGUUCGGACUGCAGGCUGCAACUCGCCUGCACGAAGUCGGAAUUGCUAGUAAUCGUGGAUCAGCAUGCCACGGUGAAUACGUUCCC